AGGGACAUCGCAAUGAGACUUC
This 22-nucleotide microRNA is filed under the name Pristionchus pacificus. RNAcentral's name for it is "ppc-miR-8326-5p". The record is from miRBase by way of RNAcentral. Lineage: Eukaryota; Metazoa; Nematoda; Chromadorea; Rhabditida; Neodiplogasteridae.